Molecule: ribosomal RNA, 1500 nt
Filed under: uncultured Acinetobacter sp.
Lineage: Bacteria; Pseudomonadati; Pseudomonadota; Gammaproteobacteria; Moraxellales; Moraxellaceae
Description: 16S ribosomal RNA
Rfam family: Bacterial small subunit ribosomal RNA
Source: RNAcentral
AGAGUUUGAUCCUGGCUCAGAUUGAACGCUGGCGGCAGGCUUAAGCACAUGCAAGUCGAGCGGGGGAAGGUAGCUUGCUACUGGACCUAGCGGCGGACGGGCGAGUAAUGCUUAGGAAUCUGCCUAUUAGUGGGGGACAACAUCUCGAAAGGGAUGCUAAUACCGCAUACGUCCUACGGGAGAAAGCAGGGGGAUCUUCGGACCUUGCGCUAAUAGAUGAGCCUAAGUCGGAUUAGCUAGUUGGUGGGGUAAAGGCCUACCAAGGCGACGAUCUGUAGCGGGUCUGAGAGGAUGAUCCGCACACUGGGACUGAGACACGGCCAGACUCCUACGGGAGGCAGCAGUGGGGAAUAUUGGACAAUGGGGGGAACCCUGAUCCAUCCAUGCCGCGUGUGUGAAGAAGGCCUUAUGGUUGUAAAGCACUUUAAGCGAGGAGGAGGCUACUUUAGUUAAUACCUAGAGAUAGUGGACGUUACUCGCAGAAUAAGCACCGGCUAACUCUGUGCCAGCAGCCGCGGUAAUACAGAGGGUGCGAGCGUUAAUCGGAUUUACUGGGCGUAAAGCGUGCGUAGGCGGCUUAUUAAGUCGGAUGUGAAAUCCCCGAGCUUAACUUGGGAAUUGCAUUCGAUACUGGUGAGCUAGAGUAUGGGAGAGGAUGGUAGAAUUCCAGGUGUAGCGGUGAAAUGCGUAGAGAUCUGGAGGAAUACCGAUGGCGAAGGCAGCCAUCUGGCCUAAUACUGACGCUGAGGUACGAAAGCAUGGGGAGCAAACAGGAUUAGAUACCCUGGUAGUCCAUGCCGUAAACGAUGUCUACUAGCCGUUGGGGCCUUUGAGGCUUUAGUGGCGCAGCUAACGCGAUAAGUAGACCGCCUGGGGAGUACGGUACGCAAGACUAAAACUCAAAUGAAUUUGACGGGGGCCCGCACAAGCGGUGGAGCAUGUGGUUUAAUUCGAUGCAACGCGAAGAACCUUACCUGGCCUUGACAUACUAGAAACUUUCCAGAGAUGGAUUGGUGCCUUCGGGAAUCUAGAUACAGGUGCUGCAUGGCUGUCGUCAGCUCGUGUCGUGAGAUGUUGGGUUAAGUCCCGCAACGAGCGCAACCCUUUUCCUUACUUGCCAGCAUUUCGGAUGGGAACUUUAAGGAUACUGCCAGUGACAAACUGGAGGAAGGCGGGGACGACGUCAAGUCAUCAUGGCCCUUACGGCCAGGGCUACACACGUGCUACAAUGGUCGGUACAAAGGGUUGCUACACAGCGAUGUGAUGCUAAUCUCAAAAAGCCGAUCGUAGUCCGGAUUGGAGUCUGCAACUCGACUCCAUGAAGUCGGAAUCGCUAGUAAUCGCGGAUCAGAAUGCCGCGGUGAAUACGUUCCCGGGCCUUGAACACACCGCCCGUCACACCAUGGGAGUUUGUUGCACCAGAAGUAGCUAGCCUAACUGCAAAGAGGGCGGUUACCACGGUGUGGCCGAUGACUGGGGUGAAGUCGUAACAAGGUAGCC